UGAACCCUUAUUUUAUCGGAGAUUAGUAGAAAAGAUACGCCCUGUAAUUCACAGUUUCCGCAAAUUCUAAGGAAUCGUUACCGAGCUCGUGUGGCCGUUUACGAUUCGACCUUUCAUCCGGCAAAAUUAAAGCUGGCUCUUUAUAAGCCAAUUUAUGCCCACUUUCCACCGCGGACUUAAACGACGCUUUGGCUAAUCUUGAUCGCCAGCGUAUUCUCUGACCGUAAAAUUACCAUUCACGCAAGAUGUAGUUAUUGUAAAUUAAAUAUUACAUGCAGGGUGUAACGUUGUCAGCGUUUGAAUGAGCAAGAAAAGAUUUCAUACAGAGUGCGAUUGGAAGUAUAGAAAUGUACAGGUUGAUUUCUCAGGAAUGGAUUAGUCUCGACUUUGAAAAUUCAUUGCAUACAUAUCAUCGCCUUGCUGGAAGUGAGUGACUCUAUUAGGAAAGGAUAUUACACGAAGGAAAUUCUUUCGGAAUACAAUUUUUCAGGUGUUAUAGAAAAUGACUAGUAGCUUGAUUAUUUAACGAUGGACAAAUUUCGUUUACAAAUUAUAGUAGUGGUCUUUGGAUUUCUAAGAUCUUUCUAAAAUAUCUAUUAUAUAAAUAUAUGUAAGUUUGUGUUGUUUAUACUGUUAACGAAAAGGUUAGAACAAUCUUUGAAUUAUGAUAUUCUUGUUAUAUAUUGUAAUUUUGUAUAACAUAAAAGAAUGUUACUCCCAUCUUCCUUUUGAAUUAAAAUAAAACACUUGCUUGGAAAAGA
Long non-coding RNA from Bombus huntii, 761 nucleotides. RefSeq lists it as uncharacterized. The record is from RefSeq and is a predicted model, not a curated record. The transcript has 2 exons. NCBI's taxonomy places the organism in Eukaryota, Metazoa, Arthropoda, Insecta, Hymenoptera, Apidae.